UGUUUGCGUAUUUGUUUUAGGGCAGAUCGAGUGUGACUUAGGUAAUAUGAUUGCAUUCGCAGGAAUUCACAGAGAUGAAAACACAGAUCUGAGAUCGUGCCAGAACGCAUAAGAAGUUCCCAAUGCAUAAGAGUAGAGCACGAGAACGCUAAAACGUUCAGAGUUGCAUCUUGUGUCGAUGAGGAACUCAGAAGUGUUCUCCUUUCUGGGCUUUUUGACCCAUCCAAGACGAUAAAGCAGGUUCUCGAUCAUCUCUCCCCCAUCUUAUCUUGCUUCUUUUGCCUCCUUUUUAUCAUCACCAAAUACUUUGAGCAGCUGUAGGUGUUAUGGGUUAAAUAGUUUCUGGGUGGUUGGCCAUUUGGCCAGAGGGCAUCUGAGCAUCACCUGUGGUCAGCACUUUUUGGCUCAUGCGCGUUAGCAGUUUGGGACGUCAUAGGGAAUCCCCGAGGACAGAUGAGGUGGGGGAAGAGGCCAUACAUUUGGGCUUUCGUGCAUGUCAGGGUGGGGCUAAGUUGGAAACGUGGUAAUGAGGGAAGAUUUCCUAGAGAGACCGAUAGUGCCCAGGAUCCUGUGCCGGCAAUGGCUGCCACUUUCUGGCUGGGUGAUCAUGGGCAUAGCUGAGAAUAUAAAAAGUGUGAAUAAAUGAACAUGGUGUUGGAGAGAAGAGAAACAUUAUGUGCUAUUCCAUCGGCAACGGGAGAUGCCUGUUUCGUGAGAUUGCGGUGCAGGUCACAAAAUGCUGACUCGGGAAAUCACAGACGACGGUUGGCCGACUUUCCCACCCGCAGACCGAGGGUCCCACCCCGCGCGUGGCCCUCUGGCAUUCCGCCGGUAAGGGUGCCUUCUGCAAAAAGACACAUCGCAGCCAAGUCCGAAGAAGAAUGUUCUUUCAUUUGCCCCGUGGUGGGAAUAGUGACCAGGGCUGACGCACCGGGCUGUAGAUGGGUCGAGCUAAGCGGUUCCUAUGAACAGUGUUCCGAGUCGGAAAACGUGGCACCGCUCAGCUCGGGGACCCGCUGUUUGUAAAACGAGGAACACCUAGAACAUCCCUGAAACUCCUUCUAGCUGUAAAACAUUCUGAUCCAUGAUCAAGGGAAAGAGGAAAGCCUCUGGGUGUCUCAUUUUCCUCAUCUGUAGAUGGAGGAAAUACUAGGUGAUAACUGUACCCGGCCCAUCGGGCCAUUUGCAGAUGAAAUGUGUCUGUAAAAAAACAAAAAGACUUUAUAAUGGGCCAAGGAAGCACACAGAAGUACUUGCUUCCUUAUUCAGCCCCAAAUUGCGGCAAGUUCAGUCUCUAGCAAUCACAGUGCACAUUCUAGUUCGCAUAUACUUUUAUGUCUCGAAGGCUCCCACAAGGGCCAUUUGCUAAUGCCCGACAAGAGAUUCCAAACAGGUGAACUGGCCUAGAGGCUGCAACUUUACCCCAGGGGCCUGGCAGUCUUAGGCAUUUACGUAACAAUUAGCUACGAGUGAAAUCUUUCUCGAAUGAUACCCACAGUUGUGCUUUUCCUUGCAACAGUUCUAUGAAACAGGUCGAGAUCGUUUCUUCUGACUUUGCGCCUGGGAAAACUCGUGGACCAGAAGGUUUAGUUGCUUUUCCAGAAUGUGUCAAUAGGGAGAGCAGCUUGGGCCUGGAACUGGCUAGAUCCUGGCUAAGUAGACCCUGGGGUCUCUACCGCUCGUACCUUUGAGAAGAGAGUCGCCUCUUGCUUUCUGUCAAGUAUUUGCCCCAGACUGCUGUACCUGCUAUGAGAUUGCAGGUUAAUGAAGGCCAGACGGGAAGCCUCUGUCUUCUUUUCUUUCAAGAGACCCUGGACCUGUAUCCCAGCUUUGUUCGGAGUCAAGGAGGAAAUUCCUUCAUCGCUAACUUCACUGUCUGAGCCUGAACCAGAAGGAAUAACAACAUGUGCGAUUUUAACUGUUUUCAGCAUCUGUUAUGACACAAUCCGUGAAGCCUUUUGUUAAUUUUCCUGACGAUUACCUCCCGCUCAUAUACUUUCCCCACAGCUGUCUGGCCCUUUUCCUGGGCCAGCCCGACACUCUAAAGUAACAGGAUUUCUGAAAUCCCAACUGCGCUCCGUCGCCAAAGACGACUUUUGCUCACUGGGGCCCGGCGAGUUGUUUUAAAACACCAGCCCGUGCCAGGUAACAAGGCAAAGAGCUACGACUCUCUCACAACCGAGGGUAAUUCAUCAACUUGGAGGGGGCCAGAUAGAAACGGCGAGAUCCUCAACUUCCUCAAAACCCCUUUCUAGCCCUCCAAACGAAAAGUCUCAAGUGCAGAAACAUAUUUGUCACAACGUGGAAAUCUCGCGAGCCAUCACCACGGCUCCCCGUGUGGAUACUAACUUUCUGUCCCAAAUUGUAAAAUGUAUCGGCAUGUGCAGUAAGGCGAUACCACGGUUUCUUAGAACCCGCGUCCCGCUUUAGGGAGAAGUAAGAGUAAGGCAGGGAAUUUUGAGUAUGAGUCUCCUUCUUAUGGGUGGAAAACUGUCUGCCACAGAUUUGGGUAGAGGGAAAAGGUCCCUGACGUUUGGACGGACCGAGUUCCUCAUGUGCAGCCCGGAAGAGGUUUUCCCCGGACAGCGGUGGGGAUGUAGUUAGUGUUCCCAAGAACUCCUUGGUGGAGAUUUUUACGUCUGGGACACGCCUCUCCCAGGGGACUGUGUGCUGAUCUGGAGGAGGACACGUCAGCCACCGAUCCGGAACCUCCUUAUGCCCUUUCUAGACGUACUUCUGUGGUAUUUUGGAGAACAGUAACUAUGUAGGCUCCGCCGUGCACCCCUGGUGUAGCUGUGCAUCAGCAGCCCACGGUAGGCUCUGGGGUCAACAUGAUGUUGGCCUAUUUGGGAUACGACGGCACGUGAAGCUUUAUGUUUCGAUCCACCUCUCCACGAGAAAGCCUUCUAAAGAGAGCAACAGUUAUGGCACGUUGUCACAGAGAGGGUCUCAGUAAUUUUUAUGUUUCUUUUUUUUAAAAUUUUUUGUAAUAUUUUAUUUAUUUUUGAGACAGGGAGAGACAGAGCAUGAACGGAGCAUGAACAGGGAGAGACAGAGAGAGGGAGACACAGAAUCUGAAACAGGCUCCAGGCUCUGAGCUGUCAGCACAGAGCCCGACGUGGGGCUCGAACUCACGAACCGUGAGAUCAUGACCUGAGCCGAAGUCGGAUGCUUAACCGACUGAGCCACCCAGGCGCCCCUAAUUUUUAUGUUUCCGAUUUGACUUUGCCUUCACCUCCCACCAAGCCCAGGAUCCGAGAUGCCGUGAAAUUUCUCACACGGUAAAGCUGGAUCAUGGAAUGGCACGUCAAACCUAAGUCCUUUUCCAUUGUUUUUCCACCACCGAGAAUUAUUUAAAAAGAUCUCUGUGGCCAGGACAGUAGGGAUCCUGCAUUAUCUAUCGCAAGGUCAGGAAGAAAAAUUAUUAAGAAGUUCAAGCCCAGGGGCGCCUGGGUGGCUCCGUUGGUUAAGCGCCCAACUCUCGGUUUCCACUCGGGUCAUGAUCUCGAGGUUCAUGAGUUCAAGCACCAUGUCGGGCUCCCUGCUGACAGUGCAGAGCCUGCUUGGGAUUCUCUCUCUCUCUCCUCUCUCUCUCUCCCCCCCCCCCCCCCACCUUUCCCCUGCUUGCUUUCUCUCUCUCUCUCUCUCUCUCAAAAUAAAUAAAUAAACUUAAAAAAAAAGUCCA
Molecule: long non-coding RNA, 3685 nt
Filed under: Felis catus (domestic cat)
Lineage: Eukaryota; Metazoa; Chordata; Mammalia; Carnivora; Felidae
Description: lncRNA (ENSFCAG00000043576.2)
Source: RNAcentral